Molecule: transfer RNA, 73 nt
Filed under: Candidatus Levybacteria bacterium RIFCSPHIGHO2_01_FULL_36_15
Lineage: Bacteria; Candidatus Levyibacteriota
Also listed under: 1 other name
Description: tRNA-Arg
Rfam family: tRNA
About the family: Transfer RNA (tRNA) molecules are approximately 80 nucleotides in length.
Source: RNAcentral
GCGCCUGUAGCUUAAUGGAUAGAGCAACUCUCUUCUAAAGAGUAGGUUGCGCGUUCGACUCGCGCCAGGCGCG